Molecule: ribosomal RNA, 305 nt
Filed under: uncultured bacterium
Lineage: Bacteria
Description: bacterial SSU rRNA
Rfam family: Bacterial small subunit ribosomal RNA
Source: RNAcentral
CCUACGGGAGGCAGCAGUGGGGAAUAUUGCACAAUGGGGGGAACCCUGAUGCAGCGACGCCGCGUGAAGGAAGAAGUAUUUCGGUAUGUAAACUUCUAUCAGCAGGGAAGAAAAAGGACGGUACCUGACUAAGAAGCCCCGGCUAACUACGUGCCAGCAGCCGCGGUAAUACGUAGGGGGCAAGCGUUAUCCGGAUUCACUGGGCGUAAAGGGAGCGCAGGCGGCAUGGCAAGUCUGAUGUGAAAACCCGGGGCCCAACCCCGGGAGUGCAUUGGAAACUGCCAGGCUGGAGUGGCGGAGGGGGG